This is a long non-coding RNA of Chenopodium quinoa (quinoa), 1134 nucleotides long. RefSeq lists it as uncharacterized. The transcript has 2 exons. NCBI's taxonomy places the organism in Eukaryota, Viridiplantae, Streptophyta, Magnoliopsida, Caryophyllales, Amaranthaceae. The record is from RefSeq and is a predicted model, not a curated record.
UAUGGAUGCCCACAAUUUUGAAAUUUUUAAUUAAUGAAAAACUUAGCGGGUUGUAUUUUCACCCUCACUCGAAUCAGGCUCCCAAAUCCCCCAAAUUCCCAAUUAAACUGCCCAUCCACUAUUCUGCUCGAUCUCCUCUAAACCUGGACUCCAACAUCAGCGACAAAAAAAAACAUCAUUCCUCUUUGGUUAAUUUUUGGGUUUUGCUUGCUAAACUUCAAGGUAUUUGGGGGUUUUUGGAUCGUCACUUUCAUAAAUUUCAGGUAUCAACUUACAAUUUGCUAUACAAUAUUGUUGCUCGGUAUAUAUCUAUCAUUUUUGGUACCUAAUAUCUCACAAUUCUCUAAAUUUCGUUAAAAUUGGGAAUUAUUCUUUGCAAGUCUUUAAUUUUGAGUUGGUGUAGAACAAGAAUCGAUCUCUUAUUGCGAGAAACCAAUAGUUCCUGCAGAGCUGUACCGAAAAGUGCGUGACUCUCAGCUUGUAGGACUUUCAGGCUACUCAAAAGAGGUACUGCAUGUAACCAGGAGCGAUCGUAGAAGCUCGACCACCAAGUCUGGUGAGGGAACCUAAAACAACACUGAAAGACGAACCAGGGACAAACCGAGUCCACAUCACAGAUGUCAUCUCGGUCAGAAAGUCUACUUGAUACAUCUUCAAGUUCGUCGGUCUCUUGGCCUUCUCAGAUAAUGGUCCUUGGAAUGUCCUGGACGAAUCCAAGUUGUCGAACCACUCGAUCAAGCAUGUAUGGCUCAAUGAUGCUACGGUACUGGAUGCAGCCAAUAAAUACAGUGGGUGGCACGUGUCGUGCAGGAUCAACUCCGUACGGGAGCUAGUUAACCUCAAGGACCGUCAGCUGAUCCAAUUUAGCACGAAAUGCGAGGGCCUUGAAAUUUCAGAUUUCCUUGUUGUUGUUGUUGUUGUUUUUUUUUUAAGUUUUUUAUGGCGUUUUCUAGGGUUUUAGUUUGGGAUUUUUCGACUAUGUUUUGAUAUGACUUUCUUGUUUUGAAGAUUGUUGGCUUGAUUAGUGUAUGUCAUAUACUUAUUUCAAUUGUGUAGGCUUGAUUAGAUUUCCCUAAUUGGAUGUUUCAUGUAAACUAUCUUCUAAUUUUGUAUAACUUUUUAUUUGUUGUUUCA